This is a long non-coding RNA of Passer domesticus (house sparrow), 7422 nucleotides long. RefSeq lists it as uncharacterized. NCBI's taxonomy places the organism in Eukaryota, Metazoa, Chordata, Aves, Passeriformes, Passeridae. The record is from RefSeq and is a predicted model, not a curated record. The transcript has 2 exons.
AGAGGGUGUAGCGGGGACGGGCACGUGGCAGGAGGGAAAGGCAGCUGCAGGAGGCGUGGACAGGGAAAGGGCUGCGAGCAGCGUGGGGACAGGGACAGAGCACAGGGAUGAGCGACCCAGCGGAAAAGCACCUGGGGGUGCUGAUCGACAGCGGCGGAACGGGAGCCCAAGGCGUGCCCGGGUGGGUGGGAAGGCCGGCGGCAUCCUGGCCUCCGUCGGGAAUAGCGUGGCCAGCAGAACCAGGAUCGUCCCCCUGUGCUGGGCACUGGUGAGACCACACUGAGUGCUGUGCCCAGUUCUGAGCCCCUCAGUUCGGGAAGGACGCUGAGGGGCUGGAGCACAGCCAGAGAAGGGCAGCGGAGCCGGGGAAGGUCUGGAGCACGGGUCUGCGGGUGUUCAGCCUGGAGAAGAGGAGGCUCAGGGGGCACUUAGCGCUCCACAACUCCCUGACAGGAGGGUGGAACCAGGUGUGGGUCGGGCUCUGCUCCCAGGGAAUAAGUGACAGGACGAGGGGACAUAGUCUUCUGCUGCACCAGGGGAGGUUUAGAUCGGACGUAAGAAAGAUUUCCUCAUGGAAGGGGUGAUUAGACAUUAGAAUGGACUGGCCAGGGCAGCGGUGGAGCCGCUGUCCCCAGAGGUGUGUAAGGAAAGGCUGGCCACGGCACUCCGUGCCACGGUCUGCUUGGCAGCGUGGUGUUCAGUCAGAGGCUGGACUCGGGGAUCUUGGAGGUCUUUUCCAACCUAAUUGAUUGUGUGAUUCUGUGAGGUCAGGGACAGGGCAUGGGGCUGAGGGAGCAGUGGGCAGUGUGGGGAAAGGGAUGGGGAGAUGCUGUGCCUGAGCGUGGGGUCUUGCAGUGAGUACCCCUUGUGUGAGGACACGAGGCUUGACUCCAUUUUCAUCAGAAGGCUGAUUUAUUAUGUUAUAUAUUAUAUUAAAAUACUACAUUACAACUAUACUAAAAGAACAAAGAGAAGAAGAUCAGAAGGCUACAAAGACAAGAAUAGAAUAGGAAUCAAUAACAAAAUCCUGUGACUUAUAUGCAGUAUAUUAAUUCUACAUUGAUAUCAAUAAAUAUUUUUCAUAUUUUGUCUAAUUGUCCAAUUAUACUUUCUGUUUGGAAUCAGACUAUAGGGAAAUUUCACCAGUAAAGAAAUGUGUAUGGACUUUUUUUAUUUACGUGUCUGUGCAUUUGUUUCCUCUUGGAAUACAGAAAUUUAAGAGUCAAGGUGUCCCUGUAGCUGAUCCUGAUCACAGCUGUCCCUGUCCCUUGGCACAGGUGGCUGUGAGUGGUCACCAACUGAAAACAAUCCACAAGGACCAAUGGAAGAUGCACCUGUGGCAUUCCACAGCAGCACACAGUUAUUGUUUACAUUUCUUUCCUGAGGCUCUCAGCUCCGCAGGACAGGAAAAAUCCUAGCAGAGGCUUUUUCACUAAAAUAUCAUAGCUACAGUGGGGUUAUGGGGAUGCUGCAUGGGGGAGUGAGGACAAUAUAUAGGGGAGAUAAGGACAAUGUAUAGGAGAAAGGGUGCUGUGCAAAGGGUGUGAGGACAGACUGUGGGAAACCAUGUGGUGCAAAGAAGGGAUAUGGAUGGUGCAUGUGGGAACUGGUGCUGCACAGAGUGGAGAGGCAGUGCAUGGGGAGAAGGAGAGCAUGCUCUGCAGGGAGUGGGAGGCUAGGGUGAAUAGGAGAAAAUAGCUGUGCAGGAUGAGAGAGAUGCUCUGAGUGUGAUGGAGUACGUGUGUGAGGGACUGGGGCAGGUGUGUGAGAAAGUUUGGGGCUCUGUGGAAGGGCUGGGUGCACAGGAAAUGGGGAGGUAGGUGAAAUUAUUUGGGAUAGAGGACAGCAAAGGUUGGGUUGGGUGUUUAAUGGACAGAGGGGACAUGCAGGGGCACAAGGAGAAGAAACAGACUGGACAUGAAGGGUCAAGGGUCUCUUGUCAGGUUGGGGUGAUUGUGUGAAUGCUCUGGAGGAUAAAACAUGGAAAAAGGCCACAUCAAGAAGACAACAGCAUUUAAAAGGGGAGAGAAGGAAAAUGGUGUGGGAAGGAUAUCGUGUUUGAAAGGGGAGAAAUGGAAAAUCUGUACAGGGAAUGUGUAUAAGGAGAAAGAAACAUAAGCAAAAGCAUGGGAAAGAGCUUAGCAGUGAAACAAGCGGCUCUGAUGGAUGGUAUAGCUGUGGGGAAGAAAGAGGAAUUCUUUCUGUGGUGGAGAAUGCAGCACUGCAAAUUGGAGUUUGGGAGUUUACUGUAGGCUAGGAGUUGUCGGAUGCCAUUCCUGUCUUCCAGCUCAGGGUGCUGGCAUUACUUUUUUUACAGCUUAUGAGCAGCUCUUGUAUCCUUCACUUUUUCCUGUUUUGAUGUGGAGACUACGUUUUUAAGGGCUUUUUCUGCUUUUUCCCUCCCACCCAAAAUUACGCAGGACAGAUGGCGUGCAAGCUAGAGCGCAUUUUGGGAUGCCUUUAUCCUUAAAAAAUAAAUCUGAAGGAAAAGAGAGAAGUGCACCAUACUGAGGUUUUUUUACCCUUAUGGAUGAAUUGCACAGUACUUAAAAUUUCUUUAAGGUAUAGCCUUUCUUUUUUUGUGUAAGUCCUGAGAUGUGAUUGUAAGUCUUGAGUCUGUGAUUUUGUGAGUGCAGGCCUUGUUUCACACCAGAAAUAUUUUAAGGAAAUUAGGAUAUGGAUGACUUACACUGGUACAGUUCUUUAUGUCCCAAAACAGAUGCUUCUGUUGUGGAUAAUUUUUUUUUCCUCAGUAUAAACUGAGUGAUGCAAGCUAGUCUGAAAAGACGUAUUUGUGCUGCAAUAAGUGUCUUCAUCAUGUGUGCUUGUAUAUUAAUAUGUUUAUGACUGAUUAAAAUCCUCUGGAAUGGGGAGAAAAGUAAUUUACUAUGUAAGAAGGACUUUGUAUCUCCCCAAAGGGUGGAGAAUUUACAAAGGAAUGUAUAUUUCUUUUAAGUCAGAAACCAUGUACUUUCUGAAAGCAACAUUUUCUGGUAAGUUACACCUUUCAGAGACUUUUGAUUACGUUAGUAAAUUUCCACCAAAAUUGAAUGAAACGCCUUGGUCUGAGACUUCUUGGAUUGUGUGGUCUGAUGAUCUCAGAGACUCUUACCGUGUGGAGCAUUUGCAGUGUCAGAGGUGCCUGGGGUGCUGUUUUUGGGUCCCUGGCUCAUGGUUGGUAGGGCUGGGUGUCUCAGAGAACAUUGUCUAAGGUUUGCAGAGGAUGAGGGAUGUCAGGUUCUUUAUUGCAGGGCUGGGAAUUGAAUGGGGCUUUUGGUAUCUGUGGAGUUCAGAGCUACUGGUUGUGCAAAAAUAUUCCUCACAUCUUUUCAAGAUCCACAGCAGCUUCUGUGUGUGUGUUAUUACAUGUUGAAUACAGAUGCAUUUAUUAAUAAUUUUUUUUACAUUCAUAAUAAAAAGCAAAAGGGAGUGGAAAGCUCUGAGACACUGAUUUUUCUUUUUACAUGUAGCAAAACCUUUUAUUCUGCCAAGCUACAUGUUAAGAUUUUAGAAUCUUGCAUCUGUUUACUGAAGGAGUGAGUCCUCUACUUCUCUAUAUUAAUAUGAAAUGGCCAAGUUCUUGCUAAUAAGUCAUGUAGAAUCCCUAUAAAACAUUGGAAAUCCCUUCUUUUAUUCUCUCAGGGUUGGAGGAAGGUGUGAGAUCACAGUUACGUUUUCUCUGGCAGUAUUUACAUUGAGCUAAUUAUGUGCCUGGUGUAGGAAGCCUCAACACUGAUGCCUUUCACAGAGGAGAAGUUUGGUGUAGCCAGUAUUUUCCAGUGCAGAUGUGUGAGUCCUUUAGAAAGUUCCUUUCCUUUUUUUUUGAUGUUUUAGCAGUUGAGAUUUUGGUGUGCUGAGAAAGCGUGGGCUUGUGCUUGGAUGUGAAUGAGGGAAUUUGCUUUGCUCUCCAUGAAGUCUUGGGAAAAUGCAGUCUUGUUAAGUGUGUUGGACAAGAGGGUAGAAUCAUAGAAUCAUUUAGGUUGUAGGAGAACUUUAAGAUGAUCAAGUUCAGCUGUUAACCCAGCACUGCCAAGUCCAUCACUGAACCAUGUUCCUGAGUGCCACAGCUACAUGCACAAGAUGAACCAAGAAGGUGGAAGUAAGUGAAGGACAAAAAAUAUGUGUUCUGCACAGGGUAACAAUGCUUUUUGGCAAAAUGGCUCGCCUUGAAGAUCCUUUGGAGCUUUUUUAAGGAAGUUGGUAAGUGGGCAGAGCAGAUAGUUGGAUUUUCAAGGGAAGGUCAGCAAGAUCUUCCACCAGAAGCCUUUUAGGUAAGUGGACAAAGCAGAAAGUUGGAUUUUCAAGGCAAAGUCAGCAGGAUCCUUCACCAGAAGCUUUUAUAGAAUCUGAGCUGUCAUUGAUAAGGAAAAGUUUUUACAGAGCAGAGUAGCUCUUCAAAUGAUAACAGAUAUAAUCUAGAGAGUACAGAAGGAGGUGCCAGCGAAAUUCCAUAGAAUCUGGACUGAUGAUCUGGAAAACAGGUGACUGGUGAGUUAGUGAGGUUUGUGGGCAAUACUGAAUUGAUUGGGGUAGUAAAUACUGCAGAAGAAAUACUGUUGCUUUUAGUGGAUGGGUGGUAGGAUAGCAGAUGGGGUCAGGAGUUGCUGUGAGAGUUAGCAUUGUUCCUUUCUUUCACAUGUGGGAUGGUUUCUUUUUCUACAUCCAGACUGGCUAGGGUAACAUUGGAAGGAAAUCCCUAGGUCAUAAUGGAUAGCUUUAUAAAAACAAAUUGCUCAAUGUUCAUUCAUGGUACAAAAGAACCUGGGUGGGGAGGGGGUUGUUAAAAGAGCCCAUACAGCAUGCCUCUACACUGUUACAUAUCCACAGUGUUACCUCCAGCUGAAAUGCUGUUUGCAGUUCUGGUGGGUUUUUCCUUUCCUCCCCCUCCCCAGGAAAAACCUCUAAUAAAGCUAGAAAAGAUACAGAGAGGAAGAUGGAGUGAUUAAGAGGAGAGCUUCCCGAAGUGCUUCUCAGUUAGGCUGACUGAAUAGACUCAGCCUCUUCAGACUGGAAAAGAGAUGAUUGAAUGGGGCCAUAGCAGAGAUUUGUAAAUGCAGUAAAAUAACAGAGCAAGGAUGAGCAACUGCUCAGGGUCACAUAAUGAAAAGCUAGAGAGGGCUAAGAAAUCAAGCAGCUAACUGAUUGCAGUGGUAGUGGGUAGGAGGUUCAGAAGCAUUAGGAGGUUUUGUUUGGUUGGUUUUGGUUUUUACAGAAACCCCCAUGUGAAUCCAAAGUUGUGAAUGUUAAAAGUUUACAUGAGCUUAAAAUGAUUGGGCAGACAGAAUAAAAACGUGUCGUGGCCAUUAAAGAAUACUUAUUUCUGAUUCAGGAAAUCCUUGAGCCACAGAUCUCUAGACACUGGGAGAUUAUAUGAGAGGACUAUCACAGCAAGCUUUCCUCCUGUAUUUUGUGUUACCCUUGUAGUCAUGUAUAUUAAUGGGCUUUCUCAUUCAGAGGUGAGAUACUGGACUAGUUUUUCAGUCUGAUUUGCCACAGCUGUUCUUUUGACACUUCACAGGAAGAUCAUGUUCUUUGAGCUUUACAGAGCUAAUCCCACCAUUCCUUUCAAUGCUGUCUGUCUGAAACACUGGCAAGUCAGCUCUUCUUGCAAAGUACCUGUCACUUCUGGGUUGUGAGCUGCUGACAGGAGAAAAACUGAAGCUGAAGAGAGUAAGAGAAAGCUGAGCAUGGAGCAAACCUGACAGCCCAGAUCUCUCUUCAGGUUUUUGUUUAAAGAAGCUGAAAAAGGUGAAGGCUGGGACUUCUGACACUAAUCAAAGGAGAAGAAAAGUCCCACCUGGAAAGGUUGAUGUGCAGGCAGCAAGCUGGAAGAUGUAACUGAGAAAUACAGCACAAAGAAACAAUGCUGCAAGGUGUACUGAGCUUGUGAUCCUCAAGCAUACUGUCUGGGGAAGCUCAGCUUCUUUUGUUCCAGAAAUUCCCUUUAGAUGCUUGGUAGUAAGUUGAGAAAAACAGAUCUGAUAAGCCUCUUGGUCACAAACCAGGUACUGCUGGUUCUUGCUGUUCCUGACCAGCUUCUCUCUGGGGUUCCCCAAGGCUGCUCAUGGCCCAGGAGCCCAUCCCAGUCCUCAGGGAUGUCAGCCCCUGUCCCAGGGACUGCACAGCAGGGCAGGUCUCCAGCUCCCCACUGCCUUGCCCUGCCCACCCACUGACCCUGUAGAGCCAGGCCCGUGUGCUGUCUGGCCUCAGCCCAUCCUUGUGGCCCUGUUUGGACACUGUGGGGCUGUGUCUGACCCUGUUCCCCUUGCUGGGCCUGACCCUGGCCCCCCUGUGCAGUCUGAUGUCCUGCCUGGCCCAGCCCAUCCCUGGACCCAUGGAGCUGCCUGAUGCCCUCAGCUCUGCCUGUCCCUGCCCUGCUGUAGAAUUCAGAGUCACAUCUUUAGUACAAAUUUAAAUGAGAAUUAUUAAUAGAUCUUUUAACUUACUUAGUGACAAAAGCCUGGAGGUUUUAGGGCAGUGACAAAUACACAGACACAGUCACAGAAACAGGAUUCUGCAGUGGGCACUGACAGCAUCAGUUCUUCAGCAGUGAGUCAGGUUCUCUGGCUCUGGUACAGCAAACAUGCAUUAACACUCUGCAUCUCCCAAUGUACACGAGUUUGCAGUGCACUAAUUUGAGGCUGGGGGAGAUUAUUUUCUUGCUUUUGCUCAUAAGGGGAAAAGGAAGUUGUGAACUGGUAAUCCUUAACACACCAACAAGGGUUUGUUAAAGUUUUUGGUGUAGGAGGUUCCACAACAUUUUUAAGUGGCCUGCUUCAAAUUUUAGAACAUCAGGGAAGAGUUUAUUUCUAUUAUUACAGGGUUUUUUUUUUCAAGUGACUUACAAUGAAAUUACUACAGAGACCUCUUAGCACUGCCACAAAUUCUGAAUGUGUACUGUCACUCUUCAGUGUCCCAUGACAGGUUUAAUGUAUCCUUAGCUCUUUUACUAAAGCUGUGGUAUGCUCCAUGUUUUAGAUAUACCAGUGGGAGCUUACUGAAGUAUUUUCUUUACUAUUUUAUCCUUAAAAUCUUUAUGUUUUUACAUCAAGGCAUGUGAGCUACAUUGACCUUGCAUGUAGAACUUGACAAGAGUUUGCCUUGAUGUAAACAUUUGUAUUUUGGAGAUUGUGAAAAUGAAAAGUUAUGGUCAACAAACUGGGAAGAAGAGAGGGACUGACUACACAGAGAAAAAAGCUUAUGUAAAAUUUAAGCUGAGCUUAUUAGUCAUUCAUCUUCUCUACCUUUUUGUCCUGUAACACUUUUUAAGAUGAUCAAUUACUGUCACAGUGAUUGCUAGUGAGGCGGUUGGGAAAGGGGAUAAACUCUGUAUUUGUGUAGGAUUCUGUGCUUUUGUCUGCUUGGUUCAUAUGUACAAUAAAGGAUUCUCGUGUAUUUUCAAAUAUUAAAAAAGUGAAAGGA